This 67-nucleotide ribosomal RNA is filed under the name Klebsiella aerogenes. RNAcentral describes it as "partial 16S ribosomal RNA". It matches the Rfam family "Bacterial small subunit ribosomal RNA", at positions 1 to 67 of the family's 1533-position model. The record is from RNAcentral. Lineage: Bacteria; Pseudomonadati; Pseudomonadota; Gammaproteobacteria; Enterobacterales; Enterobacteriaceae. RNAcentral also lists the same sequence under 100 other names.
AAAUUGAAGAGUUUGAUCAUGGCUCAGAUUGAACGCUGGCGGCAGGCCUAACACAUGCAAGUCGAGC